Molecule: long non-coding RNA, 351 nt
Organism: Haliotis rubra (blacklip abalone)
Lineage: Eukaryota; Metazoa; Mollusca; Gastropoda; Lepetellida; Haliotidae
Exons: 4
Source: RefSeq, a predicted model, not a curated record
AUUUACAAGAUACCUUGCUCAUGAACUGGUUUCGCACGGGGUACGUGUCAAUUCAAUCAAUCCAGGCUAUGUACCCAGUCCAUUAGUGUCCAAGUUGUUGACUAAAGAAGAAGCUGAUCAGUUGCAUAGAGGUCUGGUAAAUGCGACGCCAGUUAGUCGAGCUGCUACCCCAGAGGAAAUCGGUCACAUUGUGGCCUUCCUAGCCUCGGAGAAAGCAGCUUUUGUAACUGGGGAGUGUUUCAGGGCCGAUGGUUGGCUCUCAAUGACCACACCAGCCCUUGCCUGAAACUGUUGUGGGACGCUUGAGGCCUGGGCGGAUCUACCAUUAGCAGAUUGAGUAAGAAACAUUUA